UACGAAGGGGGCUAGCGUUGCUCGGAAUCACUGGGCGUAAAGCGCACGUAGGCGGACUCUUAAGUCGGGGGUGAAAUCCUGGAGCUCAACUCCAGAACUGCCUUCGAUACUGCGGGUCUCGAGUCCGGGAGAGGUGAGUGGAAUUCCUAGUGUAGAGGUGAAAUUCGUAGAUAUUAGGAAGAACACCAGUGGCGAAGGCGGCUCACUGGCCCGGUACUGACGCUGAGGCGCGAAAGCGUGGGGAGCAAACAGGG
Molecule: ribosomal RNA, 254 nt
Filed under: uncultured bacterium
Lineage: Bacteria
Description: partial 16S ribosomal RNA
Rfam family: Bacterial small subunit ribosomal RNA
Source: RNAcentral